GACAGAGGGUGCAAACGUUGUUCGGAAUUACUGGGCGUAAAGCGCGUGUAGGCGGCGUGACAAGUCGGGUGUGAAAGCCCUCAGCUCAACUGAGGAAGUGCGCCCGAAACUGUCGUGCUUGAGUGCCGGAGAGGGUGGCGGAAUUCCCCAAGUAGAGGUGAAAUUCGUAGAUAUGGGGAGGAACACCGGUGGCGAAGGCGGCCACCUGGACGGUAACUGACGCUGAGACGCGAAAGCGUGGGGAGCGAACAGG
RNAcentral lists this ribosomal RNA (253 nucleotides) under uncultured bacterium. RNAcentral's name for it is "partial 16S ribosomal RNA". It matches the Rfam family "Bacterial small subunit ribosomal RNA", at positions 524 to 776 of the family's 1533-position model. The record is from RNAcentral.